AGACUAGGGGUGAGGCUGCUGCGAGGAAGACCCGGUCAGCUGUCCCUUCCCCCAUCGGUCCUCUUAGGGGAAGUGGAGAUGUGGGCCUCGGAGCUGCGUGGCCCGGGCUGUGCGGAUUCCCUAAACGCCGCACUUGCGCACAGCCCCUUACGUAACCGUCAGUGCCGGGGAUUCCCUGGAGGGGGUCAUUCUAUUCAACCAUUAUACACACCCCGGGCUCCUGCCGCCGCGCCGCCGCCGCCUCACAAAAUGGCGGCGCCCAUAGAGGAGACCGCGGCCGCCUCCCCGGCCCCAUUUUGUGGGAGGCGAGAGAUCUGUCAACAUGGAAAACCUCUGCUGAGGAUGCAUCCGAGUUUGGAAACCCCACUUAAGGGAUGGAGCCUGGGGGAUCACAUUAAACGGAAAAUGCCAACGACUUCUACCACCUCUACGCGUUUUUAGUUUUUCAUUUUCUCGAAGGAAGCGCCAGAAGCCUGUGGAGUAAUUGUAACUAGAGGGAGAACGGAAAGCUGAGGUGACUGCUCCGGGGACUUGGCGCGGCGCCUUGGUGGCUUUGGUUGCUCUUCCACGCUCCCGGCAGCUGACCAGAAUCUCUUGGAGGGUCUCCUGGGCCACCUCGGCCGCGCCAGUCGUGCAGUGAGACUUCUGUAGUUUUAAAAUGCCACAGUCCACGGCCCGGUCGGCACCGCUCGCCUGAAUCGUGGGCUUUGGGAACCUUGGAGGCUGCUGCUCCAGGAACUCGCGGUCGGCCGGGAGCCGGGGAGCUUCGUUGCUGGGAGCGGGCGGUAUUCGCGGACUCCGGCGGCCCUGGCGGGUCGCGGCCGGGAUCCGAGCCGGGGAUGACGAUGCUGAUGGAGCUGAUGGGGCAAGAGUGGGAACGGAGGCACGUACACUGAAAUUUAAGUCAUCCAAGUUGGGACUUAAGAUAGCAGGUUAAUAUUGUCUCAGGCGAGACUUAGAACGUCUUUUCUGGUAUCCCAGUCUGCAGUGGGCAAAUCUAUUGUCUUUAUUUCUCAUUUAAGGGCAGAAUGGAGGGAUGACAUAUUUUUACUUUUCAAGAGGCGGUUGCCACUUUUAAGUCACUGUUGUGUGUGUGUGUGUACAUACACAAACAUACGAUAGUGUGUUUUCAGAGCAAGUAUCAAAGGCUAAAGACUUGGAGUGAUACUAGUGUUUAAAAGCCUUUUUAAAAAAAUUAAGAUGUGAUGAGAAACUGGAGAAUUGACUUUUAAAAAUUUCUUUUCUGUAGAAGAGGCUAUCUUCAAAAUGGAGUCCUAAAGUAUAUCUGAUGGAUAGAAUUUAAAUUCUUAACACUGUAUAUACCCUGUGGUCAAAAGCAUCAACGUAAAACUUGAUGUUUAUCAGAUUACUUAUGUUUCAAUUUUCCUGUGGUUAGAAAAAUUAAGACAGAAGUAAGCUAUUAACGGUAUUUGCUUGUAAGAGUAACGUUAAAGGUUUAAGGAAAGGUUUGUUGAAAUCGAUAUGCAUCACACGAAUCAUUUAUUUUCAAUGUUGUUUUCCAGUUGCAGCAAUCAUUUGUGUUUACAUGACUUUGAAAAAGGGUUUAGUUUAUGUUGAUUUUGACCCUCUUAUUUAAUCUCUAGUGCAGAAGUGCAGCUUUCUGCAGGCUGCGCCUCAAUCGCUAAAUAGAUUUCUGGAUGAUUUGGCCCAAAAAAUCUGAUAAGCUUUGGGGAAUUUUUUAAUUUUUUUUUCUCUUAAAGAGAAAUCAGAAAUGUGGGAUUUUUUUAAAAAUUUAUUUUCAGUAGAUAUUGGAGAUUAUGCUUUGUACAUUAAAUCCAGUUUGAUUUUUAAGUGAUAAUUUUCAAUUAAAGACUUUUUAAUAAGACAACUAAAAAAUUAAAUUUUAGUCAAUUACAAUAAUAUUUUUUGGAGAAGCAUUCCCAGAUGUGCUUUUGACGGGGAGUUGAUUUCAUUAGUUGUUUGGGUUGUUUAAUCCAGAAUUUUUAAAACUGUUAUGGGUUUAAUUUGCUACAUUUGUCCAUUCUUAUUCAUUUCAUCUGUUUUGAUCACUGAAAAGUUGUCUAAAAACUGUGCUCAUUAUACACAGUUUAUAGUAUUUUAAUACUUUGUUUAUAGUAUUUAAUAGCUUCUGAAAACUUUAAGAGAACAUACUAAACCAAGGAACUAUUUAUUAAUGGUAAUCUAUAUUUAGUAAUAAAUAUAUUUGUAACUUACUAAAUGUAAGUUUACUAAAUGUAGAUUACUAAAUCACUGAGUAAAUAUUUCUUGAAUAUUUGGACAAGAGAUGGGGGGAGGGAGAAUGACUUGACCCUCAAGAAACUUAACUGCUACCUUUAAAAGGUUAUAAUGAAGCUGGGCACAGUGGUACACACCUGUAGUCCCAGCUACUCAGGAGGCUGAGGCAGGAGGACCCCUUGAGCCGAGGAGUUCGAGGCUCUGUCUCUUAAAACAAAAAAAGUUAUAAAAAUAUUCAGACUGGAGGGUUCCUAACUUUUAAUACUUAAGCAGGGUCUUUACCACAGAGUUAAAUUUAAAAUUCUGUUUAGAAUGGUAACAAAUUUAAUUAUGUACAAAACAGCAUCACUUUAGUGUUAGGAUCAGUGUUACUCAAAGUGUUGUAAUGUUAAUAACAAGCAUUUAAAUCACAUUGUUUGAAAACUGGGAUCUACAAAAAAUAUGAUUCCAAUAAUUAACUUUUUAAUUAUGGGAAAGGCAAGGGAAUGUUCAGUGAAUGUAAAAAAAAUAUACUACUGAGCAAACAAAUUGUUUUAAUGAAUUUUGAUUUUCUGUUUUAAUUUUUUGGUACAUUGACUCUUCUUGACAUGGCACUUUGCUAUUAAUUAAAAAAAAUUAAACCCCAAAGACAAAUUAAUUCUGUAUUUAAUGCAGAUUUAAUUCUUGACUAGCUGUAAUGCUUAAGGAGUUGGCAGUCUUGUUGGCAAAACA
Molecule: long non-coding RNA, 2928 nt
Filed under: Homo sapiens (human)
Lineage: Eukaryota; Metazoa; Chordata; Mammalia; Primates; Hominidae
Description: non-protein coding LINC00938:8
Source: RNAcentral